RNAcentral lists this small RNA (27 nucleotides) under Bombyx mori (domestic silkworm). Its description in RNAcentral is "ovarian small RNA-17821". Lineage: Eukaryota; Metazoa; Arthropoda; Insecta; Lepidoptera; Bombycidae. The record is from RNAcentral.
GUCUUGCAUUUGUUGGAAUUCUGCCUU